GGGCUUCGACGAGGCUUUGGGUCACCUCCCACCCGUGUUUAUUUUACCUUGUUGCUUCGGCGGGCCCGCCUUUACUGGCCGCCGGGGGGCUCACGCCCCCGGGCCCGCGCCCGCCGAAGACACCCCCGAACUCUGUCUGAAGAUUGAAGUCUGAGUGAAAAUAUAAAUUAUUUAAAACUUUCAACAACGGAUCUCUUGGUUCCGGCAUCGAUGAAGAACGCAGCGAAAUGCGAUACGUAAUGUGAAUUGCAAAUUCAGUGAAUCAUCGAGUCUUUGAACGCACAUUGCGCCCCCUGGUAUUCCGGGGGGCAUGCCUGUCCGAGCGUCAUUGCUGCCCUCAAGCCCGGCUUGUGUGUUGGGCCCCGUCCUCCGAUUCCGGGGGACGGGCCCGAAAGGCAGCGGCGGCACCGCGUCCGGUCCUCGAGCGUAUGGGGCUUUGUCACCCGCUCUGUAGGCCCGGCCGGCGCUUGCCGAUCAACCCAAAUUUUUAUCCAGGUUGACCUCGGAUCAGGUAGGGAUACCCGCUGAACUUAAGCAUAUCAAUAAGCCCGGAGAAA
RNAcentral lists this ribosomal RNA (557 nucleotides) under Penicillium polonicum. RNAcentral describes it as "eukaryotic LSU rRNA". The stretch from base 176 to 328 matches the Rfam family "5.8S ribosomal RNA". Lineage: Eukaryota; Fungi; Ascomycota; Eurotiomycetes; Eurotiales; Aspergillaceae. The record is from RNAcentral.